CCCUUAGACGUUCUGGGCCGCACGCGCGCUACACUGACCAGUGCAACAAGCAUCCGUCCUUGGCCGACAGGCCCGGGCAAUCUUUGAACGCUGGUCGUGAUGGGGAUAGACUUUUGCAAUUUUUGGUCUUCAACGAGGAAUUCCUAGUAAACGCAAGUCAUCAACUUGCAUUGAUUACGUCCCUGCCCUUUGUACACACCGCCCGUCGCACCUACCGAUUGAAUGGUCCGGUGAAAUCUCGGGACGGCGGCUUGGUCGCUUGCGUCUGACUGCUGAAACUUGAUUAAACCAUAUCAUUUAGAGGAAGGUGAAGUCGUAACA
RNAcentral lists this ribosomal RNA (321 nucleotides) under uncultured eukaryote. Its description in RNAcentral is "partial 18S ribosomal RNA". It matches the Rfam family "Eukaryotic small subunit ribosomal RNA", at positions 1470 to 1796 of the family's 1831-position model. The record is from RNAcentral.